RNAcentral lists this ribosomal RNA (620 nucleotides) under uncultured bacterium. RNAcentral describes it as "bacterial SSU rRNA". It matches the Rfam family "Bacterial small subunit ribosomal RNA", at positions 51 to 716 of the family's 1533-position model. The record is from RNAcentral.
ACACAUGCAAGUCGAACGAAGUAGCAAUACUUAGUGGCAGACGGGUGAGUAACAUGUAGGUAUCUACCCUGUGGCCUGGAAUAACACGAGGAAACUUGUGCUAAUACCGGAUAAGUCUUUACGGAGAAAGCUUUAUGCACCAUUGGAUGAGCCUGCACUUGAUUAGUUUGUUGGUAGGGUAACGGCCUACCAAGACUGUGAUCAAUAGCUGAUUUGAGAGGAUGAUCAGCCACAUUGGGACUGAGACACGGCCCAAACUCCUACGGGAGGCAGCAGUGGGGAAUCUUGCACAAUGGAGGAAACUCUGAUGCAGCGAUGCCGCGUGAGUGAAGAAGGCCCUUGGGUUGUAAAGCUCUUUCGUCGGGGAAGAAAAUGACUGUACCCGAAUAAGAAGGUCCGGCUAACUUCGUGCCAGCAGCCGCGGUAAUACGAAGGGACCUAGCGUAGUUCGGAAUUACUGGGCUUAAAGAGUUCGUAGGUGGUUGAAAAAGUUGGUGGUGAAAUCCCAGAGCUUAACUCUGGAACUGCCAUCAAAACUUUUCAGCUAGAGUUUGAUAGAGGAAAGCAGAAUUUCUAGUGUAGAGGUGAAAUUCGUACAUAUUAGAAAGAAUACCAAUUGC